AGUGAUAUAACUGGGUCAUAUGGUGGUUCUAAUCCUAGUUUUUUUGAGGAAUCUCCAUACUGCUUUCCAGAGUGAUUGCACCAAUUUACAGUCCCAUCAGUAAU
Molecule: microRNA precursor, 104 nt
Filed under: Marmota monax (woodchuck)
Lineage: Eukaryota; Metazoa; Chordata; Mammalia; Rodentia; Sciuridae
Source: RNAcentral